Molecule: long non-coding RNA, 2687 nt
Filed under: Rattus norvegicus (Norway rat)
Lineage: Eukaryota; Metazoa; Chordata; Mammalia; Rodentia; Muridae
Description: long non-coding RNA NONRATT009999
Source: RNAcentral
GGUGGUUACCGGGGUACAGGGACAGGAAAGCUACUCAGCUGAAGGUCUGUCCCAGGCUAGCCCACUGUAAGACCCUUGCCAAGCUGUGCAAUGGUGCUUCUCUCUAGUGCCUUCCUCCAAAGGGCAGUUCUGAUUCUUCACAGCAGCAUCUGUGUGGGCUGGUGUCUGCCAGGAAUCUGUGUAGAAAGACCAGGAGGAGGCAUACAGCCUCCACACACACCAGCCUACUCACGGAGCUGCAACUGGGGGAGCCCCUUGGGUCAUCGCAGGGAGCUGUGACCAUUCCAUGCUCUGAAAGGGAAGAGAAUUUAAUGUGCCAUAGACUUCUGCUGCCUCGGGUCUCAGAGCAGUGCUUUUGGUCACUCCAAUAACAGCCUUCUUUGCCAGGAAACCUGGUCCAGGCUUUGACUGUUACCAAAACAAGGAGAAAAUGCCCAACUUGACAGCCAGUCCUGGCCAGCAUAGAGGGACAUAGUGAAGUAUCGUGUCCAGCAGAUAAACCUCAGAUGAGUUUGUCCUGAUGAAAACACAGCAGCCUCCAGGCUCCUGGCAUUCUUAGUUUGUGCUGAGAAACCCAGGCCUGUAAUCCUUUCACUGUGCCGGAUGCUACAAAUUCCUUAGAACCAUAUAAAGUAGGUCCUGGAGAAGUUACGGCUCCCAACACAGGGCUCCACUGUCCUGUGGUCCCAUUAAUGUUCUGAGAUUUGGUCAGAAAGCUAGUUCAAAGCAUUUGUUUCAAAAUAAGUUAUUUAUUUGUAUAUGUUCAAUAAAUAGAGUUUUAAUUUAUAUGUACAUAUUGGGACACCCAUGAUCCUGUCAGGAUUCUCAGUGCUCUCAUUCUAUGACUCUCCCAAAGCCACCGGCAUGACCCCAGCCAUCGAUGGCAGGUUUGCUUUGUGUGGAUCCAGGUAGGCAGAGGGCUGAACCAGCCCCUUUCUGUGAGCAACCAGGUCCUCUGCACCAUGGGAGAUGCUCCACCUCUUGGGGCCUCUCUUUGAGGCCACAGAGUUUCCCUGGGUCUACUUUUGCUACAACUUGGCAAGAUGUCAUCAGCUUUCACAAACCCCUACUUUUAUGUCCGUUUUCUAACUAACCAUUUGCAUGCAAAUAUCAUGCUGGCCCGGGGAUUUGCUCUGGUCCCUGGCCUGGGCAUGUGGGUGCAACCCUCAGUGUCACACAAGCUCAUGUACCAGUGUUCUUGCAAGGGUGAGUGUGGGUCAAACAGGUCAUCCCAGGUGCCAGAGUGACCUGUCAGGACGGUAUGGACCCACUUCACACAGAAUCUUCCAGAGUGCUUGCUGCUCCCCUGCCUCAGCGUCAGUGCCCGGUCGCUUCCCCGUGCAUGCCUUGGUCCUGCCUCACCAUCCUGUCCACUUCAUCUGUCCACUGCUCCAAUUUCCCUUUGGCUGUUUCUGUGUCAGCUCGCCCAUGCCAAUGGGACUUUUAGAAAAUCGGCUUUGGAAAGCAAUGUCCCAGGCCCUGAGGACAUCGAGGAAGGCUUCCAAUAUGUGGGGACUGCAGUCCCCCAGGUAGAAUUCACACACAGGCAGCAGCUGGACUGUGUGUCCCUGGCCUCUCCUCCCAAAGGCAAGGGACAAGCCUUCCCUGUCGUUGACCUCUGCCCUGUGCUCUGGGGAAUACUUGAGCCAAGUUAAGACAUUCACACCCACCCUCACCAGCAAGCAGGACACCUUCAAGGUCCAUUCUAUGGGUGGGGCAACAUCAAAAUGAUUGAUCUUUCUGGGUUUUUUUUUCUAAAGUAAUUUUGAAAUAGAGACAUUUCAAAUCCAUGACAUAGUUUUUAUAGAAGCAACUGAAUGUCUGGGUCUUGUUCCCACUGACUUACUACUAAUCACGCCAGAGGGCUGGGUUUCUACUGUGAACUAAACUGAAACUAAACUCCCUCACUCCCCGUGCCAUCCUCACACAGCUCAGCCCCAGGGAGAGCGGAAGCAGCUUGGCCAUGUCACUGGCGUGCAAAGCCCUCCCCUCAGUUUUGAGGAACACCCUUUGCCAGUAGGUGGGGAUAUACCACCAUGAUCUUUGGAAACCUGGGCUUCCUGUACACCAGAUUGGAUUGUCCUUUCAAAAUGGUGUCUUUAGUUCAUAAUUCUUAGGGACCAAAGGUGUUUUUAAUAGGAUAAUGUUUUAAUUGAUUUCUAACAAAGGUUUACUCUACAUUUUAAUACCAGUUUUUUUACAUUCUAGAUAUUCCAAAUCAAUUGCUCGUGGCUCUAAGUUGUAAAAUGUUUUCACGUUAUGAAUGUAAUUAUUUCCUUAAUGUAUUUUUAAAAAAAAACUAAAAUCAUAUUUAAAAUAACCUUGGAAAGACAACAGGCGAAGGAAAGAGAAAGUUUUUUUUUAAUUAACUAUGUUGGUAGCCCAUUUGAAAUGACUGUAAAUAUAUUUUGAUUGUGUAGCUCAAUGUAUUUAAUUCAGAAAGUAAAAAUUUUUUAUGUAAAGAGACUUGCAAUGAAAAAUCCUAGUUUUCAGUCCAUGCCCCUAUCUUGUAGUCACUCCCUCCCAACUUUUCUCCUCUACAAACUGAUUUUUUUUCUACUGUUGUAACCGUGUACCCAUCGACUGGCGCCCAUUGGCGGAACUUGUUUGUGUAUUAAUAAAACUGUGCUAUGUAGUCCGGCCUUGUGUCCUCCUGACAGUGGCUCAUGGUGCAGAAGAAGUUGUUC